This 78-nucleotide transfer RNA is filed under the name Corynebacterium amycolatum SK46. RNAcentral describes it as "tRNA-Ala". It matches the Rfam family "tRNA". Rfam says of the family: Transfer RNA (tRNA) molecules are approximately 80 nucleotides in length. Their secondary structure includes four short double-helical elements and three loops (D, anti-codon, and T loops). Further hydrogen bonds mediate the characteristic L-shaped molecular structure. tRNAs have two regions of fundamental functional importance: the anti-codon, which is responsible for specific mRNA codon recognition, and the 3' end, to which the tRNAs corresponding amino acid is attached (by aminoacyl-tRNA synthetases). tRNAs cope with the degeneracy of the genetic code in two manners: having more than one tRNA (with a specific anti-codon) for a particular amino acid; and 'wobble' base-pairing, i.e. permitting non-standard base-pairing at the 3rd anti-codon position. The record is from RNAcentral. Lineage: Bacteria; Bacillati; Actinomycetota; Actinomycetes; Mycobacteriales; Corynebacteriaceae.
UGGGGCUAUAGCUCAGUUGGUAGAGCGUCGCGUUCGCAAUGCGAAGGUCAGGGGUUCGAUUCCCCUUAGCUCCACAAA